RNAcentral lists this ribosomal RNA (507 nucleotides) under uncultured bacterium. RNAcentral describes it as "bacterial SSU rRNA". It matches the Rfam family "Bacterial small subunit ribosomal RNA", at positions 43 to 543 of the family's 1533-position model. The record is from RNAcentral.
CAGCUUAACACAUGCAAGUCGAGCGGGGAAGGGUAGCUUGCUACCUAACCUAGCGGCGGACGGGUGAGUAAUGCUUAGGAAUCUGCCAUUUAGUGGGGGACAACAUUCCGAAAGGAAUGCUAAUACCGCAUACGUCCUACGGGAGAAAGCAGGGGAUCUUCGGACCUUGCGCUAAAUGAUGAGCCUAAGUCGGAUUAGCUAGUUGGUGGGGUAAAGGCCUACCAAGGCGACGAUCUGUAGCGGGUCUGAGAGGAUGAUCCGCCACACUGGGACUGAGACACGGCCCAGACUCCUACGGGAGGCAGCAGUGGGGAAUAUUGGACAAUGGGCGGAAGCCUGAUCCAGCCAUGCCGCGUGUAGUGAAGAAGGCCUUUUGGUUGUAAAGCACUUUAAGCGAGGAGGAGGCUCUCCUAGUUAAUACCUAGGAUGAGUGGACGUUACUCGCAGAAUAAGCACCGGCUAACUCUGUGCCAGCAGGCCGCGGUAAUACAGAGGGUGCGAGCGUUA